AUGAAGGUCGACACAUUCAUUAGAAGAACAAUAUAAACAAAAUACCAACAAAAAAAAACAGCCCUGUAGCUACAAAAUAUGACAGAUUAUUGUUGUAACUCACUUGGAUGAUGACCUAUAAUCAGUUAAUAGCUGAUUUUGAACAGUUGCUGUAAAAUGUUUUAAUACACCGAAUAUUGUUGCCGUGCUCCUAAUGUUGUUUAUCAGAAACAGAACCAUGCCAUUAAACGCAUCGUUCAGUGUUCAGGAUGACUGACUUCCAUAAAUGAUGCGCAAAUCGUUGAUUAAGAUGGUAAACCGGAUUGUAGGAAUUUCGCUAUAUUUGGGUUGAUUGAUGUAAUUUACAUUUUAACAAGUUUGAUGUAAUCUUAAAAAAAUGUAUUUAUUUUUCUCAGGCAGAAGCUGCAUUAUUCAGAAGUUGAGACUAAACAGGGAAAGUCAUUUUUUUAGACAUUAAUAUGCAUACAGUGUAAUCAAUUUGGAAUGGAGACUUUUAAGUACACUUACUGAGAGGAGAUUGUGGGGAAAUUACUUUAUGGAGCUUAAUUCUUCACCAAGAGGAAAACUACGUAACGGCUUAAUCGUUGCUCUGAGGCACUGCGGCUUUAAUGCAGUAUUUUAAUUUCCAAGUGAAGAUUUCCUCUCACUGUAGAGUGCAGAGUUAGAUUUCUUUAAAGUCUGAUUCAUUGGAAGGACUGCUACUGACACAGGCGUAAAAGGAAUGUUCAUUUGUUGCACACAGGUAUAACAGCUUGUGGAUCCACAGAGAUGAUUGCAUUUACCUUUGAUGGUGGCUUCUUUCUCUGCCCAUUCAUGUCAAGACAACCUGUAUGAUCCCCAAAAUUGGAAAUAAAACCGCGCGCAUGUUCGGCUAGGCUACCCCAGAAGGUACAUCCUUUACACUGUGCAGAAGAAUUAGGCAGGGGAAAUCAGGCCCAUUUUUCUUGUUACCCAUUAAUCUAGUGAUGCCAGAUUAAUGCUGUUUUUUCAAUAGCAUGUAUUCAUGCAUCUCGAACAUGGGCUUUAUAAAAACGUAUAUGCAUAUCUGAAUAGUUGCACACACCUUUAUUCAUACUCAAAGCAUCCAAACGCAAUCUAUCCUUUGCACCACUAAAAAUUCACAUUUUCCAUCACAUUGAUGAUUUGCGUGCUGUAUUUUAAAUGGUUUGAUCAGGAUUUAGCAGAUCAGCUGCAAUCUACACAGUGAAAUAUUCAUAGAUACCCCCCCCCAAAAAAAAACAACAACUUUGAUGUCUACCCUUCUUAAAAACAUCAAUCAAUUGUUGUAUAGCUGGAAGAUAGCAGUAUCAAGCUCAGAACAAAAUGAAGAAGGCUUCUAAAUGUGGCAGUCUGUAACAACCGUAGCUAUAACAACCAUAAAGGAAACAGAACUGGCCAUAAAGAAGCAUAAGCAUAAAAGCUGCCACCAAACAAGAUGACCUCUGUGGUCGUCUAUUUCUGUCUGCAAAAGUCAUAUGAGCAGCCCUUUCUUCUGUUCUGCCUGUGCGGUGCUGGGGACCACAAUCAAAGGCUGUUUUCACUUUAUAAAGCAAAGAUUCCCCUUGUCUUACUUUAUAAGGUAGACGAGUAAUAAAGCAAAUAAUUACAGCAUAAUGCAAGAAGCGAAUCUAAGUGAGAUGUCUUCAAUUUCCCUGCCCUUUCCCUGAUCGUAUUAUUCAGACAAUCUUCCCUUUCCAUUCACUUGCAAAUCUGCAGUUCAUUUAUUGGAGCCCACACAAUGCAAGGGUUCUCUGCCAUGCUUAUCUCCGUGACUACAGACAGCACUGCUGACAUUUUUCUCCAGCGGCAGGUGGUUACAGAAUACUGCGUUUUCCCCUUUCAGGUAUGAAGGAGGAGGAUCAAUCCUGGAAUAUGUGCUGCAUCUUUUUUUUAUUUUUUUUAGUUAAACCUUUUUGGAGAUAUGCAGAAUGGCAAUGUUGAUGUCACCUGCCAUGGAAAAUCUAAAUGUACCUCUCCGCAUUGUUAUGAGCAAUAUGAAAAUGCAGUCGGUUUUGUACGUUCAUCUGGUGCUCCUGUUGUCAUACGUUAUCUUGUGAGAACCAGUCCAGUCUGAUAUUCUGGAGGGAACAAUGCUUUUUAGACAGGCUACUCAGGCUACAUUGUACUUUAAGAAGUUCAAAUUGAAGGUCAUUCACUUCUUUUCCGAAGGGUCAGUUCGGGGUCAAGACACCUCUGAGAGGUCUUGCCUUCCGUAUGGUAAUGUUCUCUCCGAUAUAUUUAUACAUUGGACUAAACAUUGUGGAAUCAGAUUUUGAGAAUGCCGUUGCUGUGCUCUGGACGACAGCAUCUGAUUUACAUAUUUUUCAUAUUUGGCGCUUCUUCCUGUUAUUGUUGUUCUGGAUGGCACUGGAAUGAACCGUGUUUACACAGCAGGCUGGUUUUUAUUUCCAGGUCCGUGGUGAUGCAACAUCUGUGCUUCCCUGGCGUGUUGGGCAUGCCAGCGGCUGUAAAGAUAACACCGUUUCUGAGUGAACGUGUCUAACAGGAUGUAUACAGCUGGGAGAUUCAACUGUCUGGAGACACCCCCAUAACAACGGAAUUUCUGCCAAGGACCUCCCUGGUACAUCCCUGUCCUCCCUCCCCUAGGAAGCGUGUUCCUGGAGCCCAGAUCAGAACGUGUUUCUGAAUCCGAUUCAUUCCAAGAGACAAGAGUGGGACCAGAAGGCAGAUGCUCGACUCACCCUGAAGAGGAGGGAAGGGGAGGGGGGGGCAUUUUAGUUUGUUGUUGUCGUUGGUGUUGUUUUCGUUAAUUUUAUUCUCUUGCCCCAAAAUAACUUCUCCCGACAUUGGCAGUUACAUCAGCAGUCUGUGUCAUCGCUGAUCUGUGAAGUCCUCUGGCAGGAGUGAGGGUCUGGUGACUGUAUGCUGACAGCGGUGUGGAGCUGCCCCCCUGGCCUGCUGUGAACUGUGGUGUUACAUCACUCUGCAUUUCCUUCUGUCAGUUAUAAGUGUGGAGGAUAAGCAAGCCAUUCGUGUCCGACCUUUUGUUUUGCUGAAAAUCUUUGCAUGGAGAGAAUUCUUAAUUCCCUCGUUGUGCUAUCGCUCUAAUUAGUACGCACUGUGAUGAAUCUUAAGGGAACUGGCUGUUGGUCUACUGAAGGCAAAUCAGACUAACAUUUACUCCUGUAAUCCCUUGCCAUUGGCUACGGUGUCUCAGAAGGAUAAAAACACAUGGAGAUUUAUACACUG
Anguilla anguilla (European eel) is the source of this 3210-nucleotide long non-coding RNA. RefSeq lists it as uncharacterized. The transcript has 5 exons. Lineage: Eukaryota; Metazoa; Chordata; Actinopteri; Anguilliformes; Anguillidae. The record is from RefSeq and is a predicted model, not a curated record.